UAUACGACCGUACCGCAAACCGACACUGGUGCGCGAGAUGAGUUUUCUAAGGCGCUUGAGAGAACUCAGGAGAAGGAACUCGGCAAAUUGACACCGUAACUUCGGAAGAAGGUGUGCCCUAUUAGUGUGUAGUGAACAACGAAGCAUGAAUGGGUUGCAAAAAAUCGGUGGCUGCGACUGUUUAUUAAAAACACAGCACUCUGCAAACACGAAAGUGGACUAUAGGGUGUGACGCCUGCCCGGUGCUGGAAGAUUAAAUGAUGGGGUGCAAGCUCUUGAUUGAAGUCCCAGUAAACGGCGGCCGUAACAAUAACGGUCCUAAGGUAGCGAAAUUCCUUGUCGGGUAGUUCCGACCUGCACGAAUGGCGUAACGAUGGCCACACUGUCUCCUCCUGAGACUCAGCGAAGUUGAAAUGUUUGUGAUGAUGCAAUCUCCCCGCGGAAAGACGGAAAGACCCCAUGAACCUUUACUGUAGCUUUGUAUUGGACUUUGAACAGAUCUGUGUAGGAUAGGUGGGAGGCUUUGAAGCAGGGUCGCUAGAUCUUGUGGAGCCAACGUUGAAAUACCACCCUGGUGUGUUUGAGGUUCUAACCUAGGUCCAUUAUCUGGAUCGGGGACAGUGCAUGGUUGGCAGUUUGACUGGGGCGGUCUCCUCCCAAAGCGUAACGGAGGAGUUCGAAGGUACGCUAGUUACGGUCGGACAUCGUGACGAUAGUGCAAUGGCAUAAGCGUGCUUAACUGCGAGACUGACAAGUCGAGCAGAUGCGAAAGCAGGACAUAGUGAUCCGGUGGUUCUGUAUGGAAGGGCCAUCGCUCAACGGAUAAAAGGUACUCUGGGGAUAACAGGCUGAUACCGCCCAAGAGUUCAUAUCGACGGCGGUGUUUGGCACCUCGAUGUCGGCUCAUCUCAUCCUGGGGCUGUAGCCGGUCCCAAGGGUAUGGCUGUUCGCCAUUUAAAGAGGUACGUGAGCUGGGUUUAAAACGUCGUGAGACAGUUUGGUCCCUAUCUUCCGUGGGCGCUGCAGAUUUGAGGAAGCCUGCUCCUAGUACGAGAGGACCGGAGUGGACACACCUCUGGUGUAUCGGUUGUCACGCCAGUGGCAUUGCCGAGUAGCUAAGUGUGGAAGAGAUAACCGCUGAAAGCAUCUAAGCGGGAAACUCGUUUCAAGAUGAGAUCUGCCGGGGCCUUGAGCCCCCUAAAGAGUCGUUCAAGACCAGGACGUUGAUAGGUCAGGUGUGGAAGUG
Molecule: ribosomal RNA, 1246 nt
Filed under: metagenome
Description: bacterial LSU rRNA
Rfam family: Bacterial large subunit ribosomal RNA
Source: RNAcentral